Molecule: long non-coding RNA, 4252 nt
Organism: Lolium rigidum
Lineage: Eukaryota; Viridiplantae; Streptophyta; Magnoliopsida; Poales; Poaceae
Exons: 12
Source: RefSeq, a predicted model, not a curated record
GGUUGCAUCGUGGAAAUUAUCAAGCAUGCACGUCUACAUGUAUUGCAGCAUUCCCAAAUUCCAGGCUUGCCCCACAUGAAAAUGGCUCUUCUCGUGUAAUCAUUACUUUUCCUUGAAUGGAAAUUAUCAUUGGAUAGUGGUAUAUCUAGAGUUUUUUUUGUUACCAAUACUAUAUGUUUAUUGUUAUGAUAGUAUUGGAAUAUUUGGCUGUGACUACUAACCAUCUUGUGCUUAAAUUUCAGAUUGCUAUUGUACCUAUAUUAAGUAUGGUUCUUGUUCAUAGUUUUAGUCACGCUCAAAUUGAUCGCUACCUAUUUCCUCUUGUCUAUGUAUUUACUGAAUUGAUAUCGAAGUGAUCGACUUCGGACUCGAUUUUUUACUACAUUUAUACCGGUGCGUUCCAACGCUAAGAAAGAAGGCGCCCCGGGUGCAUGUCAUGCCCGGCGGCAACCUGCCUGCCGUCAGGUUUCUUCUUGACCACGGUGCUCAUCUCCGUUAGGAAAGUGAAGAGGGUGCCAAUGUUUUUCAUUUCCGCUGCUAUGAAAGAAAAGACUCGAGCUUUGGCGUCCAUGGAGGUUGCGGCAUGGCACGAUGACCGGCUAGACUGCGAAAGCCGAUGUGGCCAGCCAACAAACCCAUGCUGAAACUAGACUGUCUUGCGCGUGGAGUCACCGAGACCCACCUGCAACCCCAACUGAGGUUCAUUGAUGGUUUAUGUUGACGGGGAUGCUUCCAUGUCCACAAAGCCUGAAAGAAUUCAAUGGGGUGACAGCGAGGAUGUGGUAGACCAAUGAGGAAGGCGUCCCUGCUUGGCAAUGACCAUGGUACUCUCGUCUUGCCACCCCAGAAGCUGAUUUCCAUCUCAGCUAGCUACAUUUUAAUUUUGGUUUGUGUGCGUCGUGUGUAUUUACUCUCUGAAUGGAUAUAUUUUUCUGUGGAACAAUAUGAUUGACUGUUUGAGCCAAAAAAAAAAACUAUCCAGAUCAAGCUAUGUAUGUAGAAAUUUUGCAUAGGUUUGUUUGUAGCUUCAGAUGUUGAUAGGUACUACAUGUUCUUCCUGAAUUUUAUAUAACUAUAUCUGGACAACCUUUAGUUAGUGCUAUGGGAAAUUGCAAAUAAACAGAGUAUAUGUGUAUGUCUUUGUUGCAUCCAUGUAAAUCAAAUUUGAUACUAAUAAAUUCUACAAGAAGCUAAAUAUAUGCAAAAUUAUACAUCCCUUUGGCAUGUGAUCUACCACACUUGUUUCUCAUUGCAAAAAUGCAUAGAAAGUCUAAUCAAUUCUUACUGGAACCAAGCAAUGCAACCAUGAAACGAAUGAAGUGUUGUUGAUGUUUUGUACAGAAAAGAGUGGAGGGGAAUGAGUUCCCAUGCUAUGGCUUUGUCAUGCCAGAUGAAAAUGUGAUUUUCUUCUUUGCACUUGUUUUACUCGUUUCAGUUGGUACCAUUAUGGUGUGAUUAGCACAAUUUUGGUAGUGUUAUUUUUUAAUAUGAGAUUUCUCUUGUAUCUUGGUUUAUUGUUCAAUAGUCUAUGUAGGGCAUACAUGUUGUUGCCUGCAUAAACAUUGGAUUAACCCAAUUAUGUUUGCCCAUCCGUCAUUGUACUUUUUUAAAUCUAGUUGAUGGCCAAAUUAUACAUCUCUUUGGCACGUGAUCUACCACACUUGUUUCUCAUUGCAAAAAUGCAUAGAAACUCUAAUCAAUUCUUGCUGCAACCAAGCAGUGCAACUAUGAAAAUGAAAUGAAUGAAGUGUUGUUGAAGUUUUGUAUAGAAAAGAGUGAAGGAGAAAGUUCCCAUACUAUGUCUUUGUCAUGCCAUAUGAAAAUGUGAUUUGCUUCUUUGCACUUGUUUUACUCGUUUCAGUUGGUACCAUUGUGGUAUGCUUAUCACAAUUUUGGUAGUGUUACUUUGUAGUAUGCGAUUUCUCUUUAUCUCAAUAUAUUGUUCAAUAGUCUAUGUAGGGCAUACAUGCUGUUAAAGUCUACAUGGUUGUUGCGUGCAUAAACAUUGGAUUAACCCAAUUAUGUUUACCCAUCUAUCAUUGUAUUUUUUAAAUCUGUAAUAUGGACAGAAAUAAUUAUUGUUUGAUCAUAUAUGUGAGAUAUUUAUAUAUCUGCAUGCUUUGUUUUAUAAUGUGAUCCUCUUCCAGUGUUGCGAUAUUCUUCAUGUAUAUUGCCAAUUGCCUGCUGAUGCCCUUUUUCACCUUGCCAAUGGUCUGAUGCACCCCUUUUUACCUUCUUACCCACUUGUGUAUUGUAGGGAUGAAAGUGGGGUGGAAAGUUUCCGACUUUUCCGUGGAAAAAUGGAAAUGGAAUAAAAAUAUGAAACGAAAACGGAAUUUUGCAAAACGGAAAUGAAAAUGGAUUUUUUUUGCAGAAACAGAAACAAAAACGGAACAGUUUUUUUCCAGCGGAUCAGACGCGGAAACGGAAUUUCUCGGCUAAUAUGAAAUUUCCAUUUUAGGCUUGAUAUGCAUCGCCCAAUCCCACAUAUCCAUCACAUGACCUUGCUAAUCCGAACUUCAAAAGCGGCUCUUCCCAAAAUUGGUGACCAUAUGUUAUACCUUCAUGCAUUCGAGGAGGCUUCCAAGGUGAAUGAAGGUAAAAUAACAGAGUAUGAAUUGAGCAACCGCCUCAUGGGCAUAGUUAGGCACCUGGUGCAGCAUAGGACACUAAAGUUUCAUUGCUUUUCUAUAAAAGGCUCUAGCUUUGGGGUCCAUGGUGGUUGCGUCAUGGCACAAUUACUGGUUGGACUAUGUGAAGGCAGCGUGAACCACACCGCCAAGGCAACAAGGUGCUACUACAAGACGUUGGCGAGCCCCAUUCCAAUCGUGUGUCGUUUAUGAGGCUUUGGCAAGCCAGCGCUAUGCUUUGGCUCCUUCGUUGACGUCUCCUCGGAUGUGCUCGCUAGGAACACCACAAAGCUGAGGAGUGCGUUAUGCCAAGGACUACAACCUAGUGAUGCACCCACAGAUUUACAUGCCGAACCUCGACGUGAUCAAGCUCAUGCAGGUCGAAGGAAUACGUCAAUGAGACCUUCUCGUGGCAGCACUUCUACUGGUACCUCACCAAUGAAGGCAUCUUCCUCAACCUCCCAUAUGAGAUAGUGCCUAACAUGCUCAAGCCACACUAUGUGAUAAGGGCGAUAAGGACUUAUAUUGCUUUUUGUGGACUGGGUUUUCUUACUAGUGGCAAAGUAGGUUGAGCUCGAAGGCCUUGUCGAAAAUAUCGGAGCUAAAAUGGUAGCCAGGUUGCUGUUAAAACUAUGAUUUGGUUGUUAAUGGGACGAAAAGUUUUGUCAACCUUUCUCAAGGGACGCCAGGGUGUUAAGAUUGUCGCUGCUGGUGCUAAUCAAGUAUAGAUCGAUCACCCGUUGUAUUGAGAAAAAAGCCAAAGCAUUAGAGAUGUUGAGCUCUGAAAGAUGUCCAAGUAGUAUAUUUGAAGAUACCGUUGGUGUGUAUCAUUUUGUAAACUGGCGGUGCUGAUGAUGUGCUGGAUGCGGCCUUCUGCGCCUCUGCACGUGAUGGUAGGCUCGGCUGGACCCUGAACUAGCCAAUUGUAGUGGUGGUGAUGUUGGACUUGGCUACAACUCUCCGGUGCUAGGUUGUAACAUUUUUGACUGUCAGCCUUCAUCUUUCGUUGAUGCAUUUGCUAUUUUCAAGCUGUGCAAGUUGGCACUGCAGCUGGAAGUGGUGGGAUGAGAUCUAGUUCCUUGAGUAUGUACUUGGAUGAUAAAUACACGACCUAUUGAAUAUCAAAUUAGGUUGUUUCUGAGAUGCAGGAGAUGAUACUCAGAACCUGGUUGGCAGAUGGUAGAUAUGGUGCUUCCAAAGUAUUUGAAUGUUACUUGAUUGAUGGUCCAAUUUCUAUUUGAAUGCUUUUUGAUACUAGUGAUGGGGAUAAGUGGAGUUGGAGGCCUCUAGGAGGGCGGGAUCCAUCGCUGCCAGGUCCAGACGAUGGCCGGCCAUAUUUUUUCAUGUUUUUUGCACUAAUGAUGCAAUCUCUUUGGUACUAGGUGAGGUUUGAUGAAAGACUGAAGAAAGUCUCGCUAUUAUAUUGGCUUCACCUAGGACCUCUCUCCCCAAGCAAUAGUGUGUGUGUGUUAUGAUUAGCCGUUCUCUCUAUACGGUUGUAAGUAGCUGUUCUCGUGGUGAUUUACAAAGCUAUCCAUCAGGCUUAAAUUUGAGUUGGAGUCAGUUGUGUAUCUAUGUUGUGAACUAAAUGAGUCAAAGAAAAACGAAUGAAGUUCGAAAUA